CAGCAGCCGCGGUAAUACGAAGGGUGCAAGCGUUAAUCGGAAUUACUGGGCGUAAAGCGCACGCAGGCGGUCUGUCAAGUCAGAUGUGAAAUCCCCGAGCUUAACUCGGGAACUGCAUCUGAAACUGGCAAGCUAGAGUCUUGUAGAGGGGGGUAGAAUUCCAGGUGUAGCGGUGAAAUGCGUAGAGAUCUGGAGGAAUACCGGUGGCGAAGGCGGCCCCCUGGACAGAGACUGACGCUCAGGUGCGAAAGCGUGGGGAGCAAACAGGAUUAGAUACCCCGGUAGUCCCUGUCUCUUAUAC
This 301-nucleotide ribosomal RNA is filed under the name uncultured bacterium. Its description in RNAcentral is "partial 16S ribosomal RNA". It matches the Rfam family "Bacterial small subunit ribosomal RNA", at positions 509 to 807 of the family's 1533-position model. The record is from RNAcentral.